AACGAACGCUGGCGGCAUGCCUAACACAUGCAAGUCGAACGAGACCUUCGGGUCUAGUGGCGCACGGGUGCGUAACGCGUGGGAACCUGCCCUUAGGUUCGGAAUAACUCCCCGAAAGGGGUGCUAAUACCGGAUAAUGUCUUCGGCCCAAAGAUUUAUCGCCUUUGGAUGGGCCCUCGUUGGAUUAGCUAGUUGGUAGGGUAAAAGCCUACCACGGCGACGAUCCAUAGCUGGUCUGAGAGGAUGAUCAGCCACACUGGGACUGAGACACGGCCCAGACUCCUACGGGAGGGAGCAGUGGGGAAUAUUGGACAAUGGGCGAAAGCCUGAUCCAGCAAGGCCGCGUGAGUGAUGAAGGCCUUAGGGUUGUAAAGCUCUUUUACCCGGGAUGAUAAUGACAGUACCGGGAGAAUAAGCCCCGGCUAACUCCGUG
This 433-nucleotide ribosomal RNA is filed under the name uncultured bacterium. RNAcentral describes it as "partial 16S ribosomal RNA". It matches the Rfam family "Bacterial small subunit ribosomal RNA", at positions 29 to 507 of the family's 1533-position model. The record is from RNAcentral.